GACGAACGCUGGCGGCGUGCUUAACACAUGCAAGUCGAACGGUAAGGCCCUUCGGGGUACACGAGUGGCGAACGGGUGAGUAACACGUGGGUGAUCUGCCCUGCACUUCGGGAUAAGCCUGGGAAACUGGGUCUAAUACCGGAUAGGACCACUGCCUGCAUGGGUGGUGGUGGAAAGCUUUUGCGGUGUGGGAUGGGCCCGCGGCCUAUCAGCUUGUUGGUGGGGUGAUGGCCUACCAAGGCGACGACGGGUAGCCGGCCUGAGAGGGUGACCGGCCACACAGGGACUGAGAUACGGCCCAGACUCCUACGGGAGGCAGCAGUGGGGAAUAUUGCACAAUGGGCGCAAGCCUGAUGCAGCGACGCCGCGUGAGGGAUGACGGCCUUCGGGUUGUAAACCUCUUUCAGCACCGACGAAGCGCAAGUGACGGUAGGUGCAGAAGAAGGACCGGCCAACUACGUGACAGCAGCCGCAGUAA
This 478-nucleotide ribosomal RNA is filed under the name uncultured bacterium. RNAcentral's name for it is "partial 16S ribosomal RNA". It matches the Rfam family "Bacterial small subunit ribosomal RNA", at positions 28 to 523 of the family's 1533-position model. The record is from RNAcentral.